AAGAGUUCUUGCUCAUGAUCCUUAGCCCUAAAUCGAUUCGUCAAAAAACAUCAUUUUAAGAUGCCCUCAGGAAUUCAGGUCAAGCUUGUAACAGAACACGUGAAAUAUUUGGAAGAACAGAUACAAGUUCUGGAACCUGUUAUAGGAAAUAUGAAAAAUGUUGUUACAAAAAGUAAGGCGUGGCUAGAAGAAAAAACUGACCAAUCAUCUGUCAGCUACAUCGAUUUAUCACAAGAACUGGACACAGCAGCCACGGCCUUGUUGGAUGUGACGUCACAU
This is a long non-coding RNA of Physella acuta, 279 nucleotides long. RefSeq lists it as uncharacterized. The record is from RefSeq and is a predicted model, not a curated record. Lineage: Eukaryota; Metazoa; Mollusca; Gastropoda; Physidae.